RNAcentral lists this ribosomal RNA (253 nucleotides) under uncultured bacterium. Its description in RNAcentral is "partial 16S ribosomal RNA". It matches the Rfam family "Bacterial small subunit ribosomal RNA", at positions 524 to 776 of the family's 1533-position model. The record is from RNAcentral.
UACGGGGGGGGCAAGCGUUGUUCGGAAUUACUGGGCGUAAAGGGCUCGUAGGUGGCCAACUAAGUCAGACGUGAAAUCCCUCGGCUUAACCGGGGAACUGCGUCUGAUACUGGAUGGCUUGAGUUCGGAAGAGGGAUGCGGAAUUCCAGGUGUAGCGGUGAAAUGCGUAGAUAUCUGGAGGAACACCGGUGGCGAAGGCGGCAUCCUGGACCGAUACUGACACUGAGGAGCGAAAGCCAGGGGAGCAAACGGG